ACGGAUCUCUUGGUUCUCGCAACGAUGAAGAACGCAGCGAAUUGCGAUAAGUAUUGUGAAUUGCAGAUUUUCGUGAAUCAUCGAAUCUUUGAACGCACAUUGCGCCCUGUGGUAUUCCACAGGGCAUGCCUGUUUGAGCGUCAUUUCUCCUUCAAGCUUCUUAGU
This 165-nucleotide ribosomal RNA is filed under the name Barnettozyma vustinii. RNAcentral's name for it is "5.8S ribosomal RNA". The stretch from base 1 to 143 matches the Rfam family "5.8S ribosomal RNA". Rfam says of the family: 5.8S ribosomal RNA (5.8S rRNA) is a component of the large subunit of the eukaryotic ribosome. It is transcribed by RNA polymerase I as part of the 45S precursor that also contains 18S and 28S rRNA. Lineage: Eukaryota; Fungi; Ascomycota; Saccharomycetes; Phaffomycetales; Phaffomycetaceae. The record is from RNAcentral.